This 409-nucleotide ribosomal RNA is filed under the name uncultured Nitrososphaerota archaeon. Its description in RNAcentral is "bacterial SSU rRNA". It matches the Rfam family "Archaeal small subunit ribosomal RNA", at positions 452 to 861 of the family's 1478-position model. The record is from RNAcentral. Lineage: Archaea; Thermoproteati; Nitrososphaerota.
CUGGUGUCAGCCGCCGCGGUAAUACCAGCACCCCGAGUGGUCGGGACGAUUAUUGGGCCUAAAGCAUCCGUAGCCGGCCUUACAAGUCCUCCGUUAAAUCCAGCUGCUUAACAGAUGGGCUGCGGAGGAUACUAUAAGACUAGGAGGCAGGAGAGGCAAGCGGUACUCAGUGGGUAGGGGUAAAACCCGUUGAUCCAUUGAAGACCACCAGUGGCGAAGGCGGCUUGCCAGAAUGCGCUCGACGGUGAGGGAUGAAAGCUGGGGGAGCAAACCGGAUUAGAUACCCGGGUAGUCCCAGCUGUAAACGAUGCAGACUCGGUGAUGGACUAGCUUUAUGCUGGUCCAGUGCCGCAGGGAAGCCGUUAAGUCUGCCGCCUGGGUAGUACGGUCGCAAGACUGAAACUUAAAG